AUAAAAUCAACAGAUUUCGUUCGAGUGGUCGGCACAAGACGUUCGACAUCGCGCAGAAUGAUAAAUGAAAAGUAUAGCCCACUGUGUCCAACGCCGUUCAGAUCUUUGCUUCUUGUGUGAUAAAGCGAAGAAUCUCUUUACUGGUUCACUAGAAGAAAACCCGCCAUGGAAUAAUAAAUGCGUCCCUUUUUACGUUACACCUGAACCCACCUAAACGGCAACAUCUAAACAGCCUUACAGUCCAAACCAGAAGUAACAUAUUUUUUUAAUUUUUUAUUUUUUUUUACGUUUUUCCAAUCUUCUGAAGGUCUUCGUUACAUCUGGUCUUCUUUGGGGGAAGUAAUAAGACGACAGAUGAGACAUGAAUCACGUACUAUCCCAACAAUGGACUUAAAGAGUUUUAGAAAACACAAUCGCGGCUAACUGCGCAAUUCGUACAAGUGAAAGCUUGAGCGAGACGCAAAUCAUGGAUUUACACAAGUGGACGUACAAUCAAGAGGAAGAAACUUUUUCGUCUUCGAACCAACUUGGAUUUUAUGCUUUUUAUAUACAUUUUUGUUUUGAAGGAGCAAUGCGAUGCACAUUGUGACUGGGCGUGAGGCAGCUACUGGCCAGUCAGGAGGGCACGGGCAGCCUGCCACUGAAGCUGAGGAUCAGAGAAUGUCCAUCUUUAUAAAGCCUAUAUUUACUCCCCUGACACUGCAAGAAUUUCUGCUAAAUAUAAACGUGGUCCAACCCACCAUCAUGGCCACACUACGUCCACUGGCACUCUGGACCUUCGAGCGAUGUGACAGAGAGGGAAUGUCUUUACAAGAGUAGCCAUUAUGGACUGUAACUUUAUUACAUUAGAAUGCAUUCAUAAGUGUGUUAACUGAGGUGGGCUUUGCUAUAGGUGGUAGCUAAAGUAUUACUUACUGUAAGUGCCAAAAUCAAAAUGAAUACAUUAGACCUCAAGCAAGUUGUGCUUCAUGGUCAUUUGCUUAAACUCAUAAAGGAAACUGCAUGAUAAUGCCCAGAAUUUGCUUACACCCAGUGCAUAAAGACAAUAUCCUGCCAACUCGCUUCCACUGGUGCAAAUUAUGGUUUACCUAGAGGCUCAUCAAAUUUGAGUGACCAUUGUUGUUUUUUUCUGUGGCAAUAUGAAAAUAUGGAUAGUCAUAAAUAAACUAAAGCAAGCGUCCCACACAGGGAUUAAAGGAUUAGUGUGUGCUGGA
Molecule: long non-coding RNA, 1214 nt
Organism: Anguilla anguilla (European eel)
Lineage: Eukaryota; Metazoa; Chordata; Actinopteri; Anguilliformes; Anguillidae
Exons: 3
Source: RefSeq, a predicted model, not a curated record